This is a long non-coding RNA of Anguilla rostrata (American eel), 5615 nucleotides long. RefSeq lists it as uncharacterized. The transcript is spliced from 2 exons. The record is from RefSeq and is a predicted model, not a curated record. NCBI's taxonomy places the organism in Eukaryota, Metazoa, Chordata, Actinopteri, Anguilliformes, Anguillidae.
UUCUGGAGAACGACAGACGAAUAUAUGCGUUUCUACAUUUGCCGGAUUUAUAAAGAAUUGUAUUGUUCAUGGAAUCCGCCUCCGCAGGGUUGCAUUCCAUUUAACACGGAGACAGAUAUGAUCUUUGGGAAAUAUGCAAUUCCCAUUUUCCACAUGGACACAUUUCCAAGAUUUCAUAAUUAAAUGCACCCACCACAAUUUUCAGUUAAUAAACAUUUACAGCACCAAAACGGGGUCUUUAUCUUUCCGUCGUCGGUGCAUAAGUAAUAUGUACACUGUGAUAGCAAUUGAUUGUGUGGGAAAUGUGUCGUUAGAAAAGAGAUGCAUCCAGUUACAAAGGCAAUCUAGUUCAACGCAAUUGCGUCACGAAAUAAAAACCUGCUACAGACCUAGUCGUCACGUGCUUUCGACUGGUUAAAUAUCAACAGAUAGGCAAGCCUCGUGUCCAGCAUUAAUUCAUCGUUGAUUUACUGAAGCUCGACUUUUGUCAGAUUUUGAACUUCCCACUAAAGCCUAUGCAUUGGCAGAGCAUUUCCACAGUAUUGUCAAACUCGUAACCUACGUCAAAGGAGUCUAAGGGCAUACACCCCAGAGAGCAGAAGACUUAAACGCACCCAACGGCGCGCGGCAGUCGGCGGUGGUGAAACGCUCUGACUCUGCCCGUUCGUUCCGAUCGCCUGUACCGAUGAGGUCACAGCCGUGACGACUCCCCUCUGUGAUCGCUAACGGAAGGGCUGGGUCAGGCGCCGGCCAAUAAACGGUGUGGUAGAAAAGCAGGCGGGGAGGGCGGGUUUUUUUUUUUUUGUUCUCAGACACAACAGGGUGUCGUUUAAAAAAAAAAAAAAAAAAAAAAAAGAAGAAGAAGAAGAAAUGAGUGGCGCUGUGCCACCGCAGCCCGUGGAAUGCCAGACACGGAGGGGCGUGGCCCGGGGAUCAUGCCAUGGCCGCGUGCGAGGGCCGUGUAACUUGAGCCGGAAGCUGCAGAAGAGAGCAGCGAUCCCGGCGGCGGUGCGAGGAGGAGAGGCUGUUCAUCCCGCGGGAACGCCGCCAGACGCCGACGCCGGCCUUCUUCCGCCGCCGUCCCUUUACAGACCGCCACUACGCAACCCCGAAAUCUUAACGCUAGAGCACGCCCUAAGAGGUUCACAGAGGUCAACCGCGAUGUUCAACAGCGCCGGCUCCCACCAAUCAGCACGAGGCUCCCCUGUGGCGCAUGACUUGUCAUUUUUCCGGUGAAUAAAUCACAUCAUAAACACACACACACACACACACACACACACGCAAAAAUGGACGAGCAGCGUUAGUGCCUUGCUUUUUUUCUUCUUUUUUCUUUUCUUGCAAACCCACAAUCAAACGAUGUGCCGUGCCGUUCUCCAGAAAGUUAUGCUCCUGCGCGAAGGUGCGCAGUUUCAGGUUUGCGAUUCGAGUCUCGUCUUACAGGUCUGACUCUUUUUUUGGCAGCUGUUAGGGCGGGGGGGGGUGCGCUGGGGGUAAUUGCAUUGGCGUAUGCAGAUCUCAGCAUUGUUCGGAAACACAGGCGGAAUAAUUCAUGCCCCCCCCCCCCGCGCCGUCUCCGCUGAUUGCUUGGGCUACCUGUUUAAUAUGAAAGCUCGCUUUCUGCUUGCGAGGUGCCCGUUCGCAUCGCAUGCAAAGGAGUCGUUUCCUUUGACAAGACGAAACAGCUGCCAGGAGAGGGGCAGAUGGCUUCAUUAUUGUCUUCGUGUUACAGAUGGAUGGCACUGCUGACAGAUAGGAAGAAUAAAUUGCUGGUGAUAUUAAAAAGAAACCAGCUUGCGUUACAGGUUUUUUUUCCCUGGUUUUAAGGUGUAUUUUUAGUGAAAUGUGCAGAGUGGCAUGCAUAGCAAAACCAUGCAUUUUUCUGCGCCCGUGGAAUUCGAUAUGUUAAGCGAAUUCUCUCAGCGCUGCGCUCCUGCACUCUGGAUUUAUAUUAUAAUUGGAAUUCCAUGUGUUGCCCAAAUUGCCGUACACGAAUUGUGUGUGCCGAGUGCGGGAGGCGCUCUCUUCAGCUGAUGGGAUUCGUUUUGACCCAGGUCCAAUCCACCUAAAUCCUGGGGAGAAAAUGGCGUAUGACCUUUUCGUAUUGUUUAGAGUUCUCUUCCCUCCGGAGGGCUCUGCCUUCAGCUUAGCUCCACGCCGAUGACACUGACUUCUGACGGCGUCUGAGAAGUCAGCCAUCGGGCCCCGCUUAGUUCCUCCCACCAUUUACAGUAAAUCUCAUUUUUCCAUUUCAUAUGUUUUCUCGCUUCUGUUUUUUCUCAGAAAUUGAUCUGCAUUUUUUCCCCAUUGUGGACACGGACAAGUAUUAACAUAUUCGUCACCUAUAAAAUAUAUAAACAAUUACAGGCAUUAAGGAAGCAUGAAUCAUAAUAGAAAAUAUUACUACUUACAGUACCACAUAGUUUGUCAGACGUAACAUUGAACUUAUGACACUAGAGAAUGUCGUUGUGGCGUGAAGAAACCAGAAGUCAUAUUUAUGACACAUGUAACCACAAACGCACACAAGCACACACAUGCACACAAACACUCAUGCAAACACACACUCAUACAAGCAUGCACACACAUGCACACAAACACGCAUACAAACACACACUCAUACAAGCAUGCACACACAUGCACGCAAACACGCAUACAAACACACAAUCAUAAAAGGCAUGCACACACAUGCACACAAACACACAUACACACAUGCAACCAAACACUCGUGCAAGCACACACUCAUAAAAGUAUGCACACACAUGCAAACAAACACUCAUGCAAACACACACUCAUACAAGCAUGCACACACACAUAUGCGCGCACGCACACACACACACAGAACCCCACGGAUCUGCAGAAAAUGGCGCAUGAUUAAGUAAUGGAUUUCUUUCAUUCCAUGCUGGGCCAGGCUGUCUCUCUGUUAUUUUACGAGAUCCCAGCUCCCUGGACGGGACGUCAGAGCGGGACACGGGCCCUCACCGCGCACGGCCAAGCGCCUCUUCCCCAGAGUCGGGGUCACCUACGCAAGGGGAAGCUGCUAAAACACUCCCAGCAGGACCCAGAAGUACAUAAAGGCCCCGUUUCCGUAAGCCUGCCCUUAAAUCACACAUCCACUGCUGCAUUAAGCAGAACCCGGGAGUGAAGAGGCUGAGGCCAAGAAGCUCCGGAAGAUAUACUGUGACAUCAAAGAUGUUCUUUACCGCCCCCCCAAAAACUCAAUUCUCAAAACUCACAAUUUAUAAAAUGCAAGGAUCUUGGCAGUAUUGCACGACGCAUAUGAUGUUUCUUUCUUCUCUUUUCCUCCCUCCUCGCCCCCCCUUUUCUUUUUUUAAAAACCUCUGGUUCCAUUAAUAUCUUGGCUCCAGCGUGUACGCAUUAGAAGAAUGGCGCUGAGCGGACUCCGUAGGCUGGAAGAUUAAUGGCGUUUAAGUGUCUCCAACCGGCCCCGGCAUUUAUGAGCGAUGCGUUUAUUCCUGAAAAGAAUCUGAGAGUUAAUUUGUCAUGAAAUCCAAUCGCUGCGCGAUGACGGGCACGCGGGACAGGCGUCCCCCCGAACCAGCGGCACAUUUGCACCCCCGUAUUGGGAUUUGGAAGGAGCUUUGCUAUGUAUUAGAGAAUGUAAUCACGACUGCCCCUACGAGGUGCGAGUAACUUAAGCAAUGUGACGCGUGUCAAACGUUCGCGCCCGCUCGUAGUUUCUGCCCUGAUUAUUUUGGUCAGGGACGGUUACAGAACAGAAAGCCUAAUAUUUGGAAGUCCUCUUAGGGAAAGGCAGCAGUGUCUGUCACACAAAGGGGUUCUGUGUGGAUAUUAGAUCAUUAAAUAUACAGAAUAAAUCUGUCGCAAGGCUCACAUUUUAAAAACAUCCACGGCACUUAGUUUAAACAUAUUAAUAGCGUACCGUGGAUGGUCUUGGGGUUUUUUUGAACCUGAAAGUUUAUAUUUUGCGAAAAGUUUAUCUCAAUGUUAAAGUGAGCGCCGAAAUGGUUUAGAAUAAGUUUUUUUUUUUUAAAGAAGAGUUUGAAGAAAUAUCUCUCUUGACAUAUUUCUCCUACUUGGUUGUGCAAUAUAAUUUAUUAUAAAUCUGUUUUUAUUAAAGUGUUGAAUGUAAUGUUAUGUAAUGUAUUAUAUAAUAUGUAUGCAUAAUGUCAUUCUUUAUUUUUUGUUGAUUGUUUGGCUUAAAAUCCAGGACAGGCCCACAGUAUUCUUUGUGCACUAUAAUGUGGUUUAAUCUUCUUUUAUAUACUUUAUAUAAUCUUUGUAUUUACUUUUCGAACAAUACUUUCUGUUAGAAUAAUACUUUUUGCCAGUGAGAUGAAUUAGCCCACCUGGGAUCAAUAGAUAGGACCAGUAAACCAAAAUAAAAAUCAAUUAUAUUCCUUCCAGUUAGAUUGUAUCAUGAGGUAUUGUGCUUUGUGAAUAGUGCCUGGUAUUUUAAUGUGACACUGCUAAGAAACUUUCCCUGAGAACAGGUAAGUUUAAAGGUAAGUAAACAACAACCCAGUUCAGUAUUACGUAGUAUUAGCUUUCAUCCCAGAUCAACUGGGCCCACAAGUUCCUCACUUAAAUAAUAAUAAUAAUAAUAAUAAUAAUAAUAAUAAUAAUAAUGGUAUUAAAACAGUUAGAAAAGACAAAAACUCUGCACAUAAUAGACAUGGUAUUUUUUUAAAAUAAAAUAAAAUUCGGCUGUGGAGUGACCAGCCAGUUCUCUGUGUUCCACAGAUUGUGGUUCUACAAAUGGGGGGAAAAAAUUUUAAAUAAAAGUUUUAUCUGUGUCAGCCAAAACCAUGAGAGUCUACGUUCUGGACACCUGAUGCCCGGUCGACAUACUGUCAAUUUCUCUUAAUUGACAGCAUCAUUCUGUUGGAACUGAGAAAACUAGUACUGUAAACAUACAAUGCAUUUCAGAGCCUGCAGUUUCAUUUAAAAUAUUUUAAUGCGCAACUGAUAUGACUGCAUGUAAUUAUUAUUUAUUAUUAUUAUUUACAGGUAGUUUGUUUUGCAUAUAGAAACAAUCUUACACCGACACUGUCUCAUUGAUCCUCAGACUGACUCUAUGCCCAUUUGAAUUGGACUAUUAAAUUGGUUUUUAAAAAUUAUGGAAUUUAUUUCAAUUCAAGGUACUAGUGGCAAGUCAGUGAUUCAUGAUUACGAAACAUUCUAAUGGACCUGUACAUUUACUUCCAUUCUUGCUUUGCAGUUGUUCUGUCAUUCCUCUUUAAUUUUUUUAAUUUUUGUUGAAGCUUUCUCAACAUACAUUUGUCAGACAGGAUUUUGAAACAUGAAAUUUAGCAUUAUUAUGAUGUAAUUAAGAUACAAUUAUGUGUUGUUACGGAGAAAGAGCUUUUUGCCAGAACAUUCCUGAAAGUUGUUUCUCAAGAUAUGUGUGAGAAAAUGUUCUGAAAGAAGUACUAUGCAGUUAAUAUUGCAGUUGUAUCAUAUAAUAUUAUACAGUAAAAUACUACUAUUAUGAUAAAUACUUUUAAGUGUGUUUUGGCUAUGCAUAUGGAGUUUUUUUUACUCUAUGUAAUGAUCCUGAAGGAAUUAUAGGACCAUGUGAAGUACUGGUACCAUAGAUACUUGAGAUUUGUACUCAGCAAUAAAAAGAAUAUGCCCCA